Anolis carolinensis (green anole) is the source of this 1373-nucleotide long non-coding RNA. RefSeq lists it as uncharacterized. The record is from RefSeq and is a predicted model, not a curated record. Lineage: Eukaryota; Metazoa; Chordata; Lepidosauria; Squamata; Anolidae. The transcript has 2 exons.
UCAGAAAGAAGUGGGCGAAAUGGGUUGCUCCAGAAGCAUUCUCUCCUGACGAACGUCCGCAUCUGCGGCAGGCAUCCUGAGAGGUUGUCAGGUAUCUUGGAAACUAGGACAAAGGAGGUUUAUAUAUUGCAGAGCACUUGGUCAACCAACCUGGACACAGCAUCUUAUUUAAUAAUACAGAAAUGCUGGACCACUCUAACAGCCACCAUGUCAGACUGCACAGAGAAGCCAUUGAAAUCCAUAAACAUGUGGAGCAUUUUAACAGAAAGGAGGAAACCAUGAAAAUGAACAAAAUCUUGACACCAGUAUUUUAAAAACUCUAAAAUCGGGAUAGUGAACAAAGAACAACACUCCGAAAACAAAGGAAUUUAAGACAUGAAACAAUCAGUGCCAGUUAACACCUCCCAACAAAGGAUUCCCCAGGCAGUAAUCAGCCAGACCUUGAAGCUGCAAAGCUAUUCAAGGUUAUUAAUUGCAAAAUUCACACUUGCCUCCAACAGGCAAGAGUUCUUUCUCUCACCUUGUACCUUCCACAGAUAUGUAAACCCCACUUUUCUAGUUUCCAAUAGACCUCACAACCUCUGAGGAUGCCGGCCAUAAAUCUGGGUGAAAUGUCAGGAGAGAAUGCUUCUGGAACAUGGCCAUAAAGACUGGAAAACUCACAGCAUCCCAAAGAUUCCAGCCAUGAAACCCUUUGACAACACAUUUGUUGCUUCCACUCCAAAUUCAAAAGUAAGCCAGUGUGAGCUGUAUUCCUUCCCCUGCUGGAUCAUACCCAUUUAAACUUCUGCGGCAGGCCAGUGGGCAGAAAAUAAAUGCGAGAGGGGUUGAAACAUUCCCCCCAGAUUACUUUUGAGGCCGUUGUCUCCUGAUCUGGUCCGAGAUCUCAACCAGGCCAUGAAAUUACCAUAAUUGUGCAAAAGUCCUUCACAGGUAUCCUUGGAGCAUGUUGAAAUGUAUCCUCUGUGGAUGCAGGUGUCGUACAACAAAACUAUGCAGAAGCAUCACCAUAUCUUUAUCAGAGGAAACCAUCAUGAGAAGAGGAAUCUCAAAGAGCCAAGUGAAGAUGGAAGACGUUUGGUGGGCAUAAAACACUGGCUAUUGGAGGGAAAUAGAUGGAAACAAUGAGGCAGUGAGAUAGAAAAAAGGGCUUAGCUGCUUGAAAAGUGGAUGCAAGCACUCCACAAUGCAACAAUUUGCUACAGGUCGCACCUGUAAAGAAAAAUAGCUCAAGAUAAGAUUGAACAACAAAGGCAAUACGGAAGCAGUGUUGUUUUAAAAAAGGGGUCAUCAUUUUGCUUUGGCUCAUACAAUUGUAUCGUUGGGUACUUCCAAAAUAAACACCCAGAUUGUAGCUGAGGCUACUAAACAUU